ACCAAGGGCCCCUCCUUCUCCUCAGUGCCUGACUGUGGCCAGGCUGAGCCACCCACUGCCCCCACCAAGUGCCCGCUGAGGGCCUGGUCUUGCCUCCAGCUGGGCAGGGGGCUGGGUGGCUGGGAGCAUUUGGGUUUUGCCUUGUUCUCCUCCAUCUCUGAGAUCCUGAAGCGCGAAUGGAUCCCGGGAGCUGCUUCCUUCUGCAAGAGUGGCUCUCACGGGACUGGGCACCUCAGGGUUCUGCGCCGCUUACACACCCUGAGUCGUGGUGGGGCUCUCUGAUGUCACAGGGGUCUCUUAGCACCGCUGAGUCACAACGGGCCACACCCAGUACCCCUGCAGGUAGCAGCUGAGCCCACUGGAAUCUUCAUGGCUGGUGCUUCCCGGGAGGCUCCCGAAGCUCAACAGUGUGGAAGAGUGGCUAGCUAACAAAGGUCAUGUUCCCAUGCAGCAAUUAGCUGAGAAAGAAUUAAACAACAGUGGAGUGUAGUUGGUAUGAGAUGUUGCAAUGUCAGAAAGACCUUAGUGAUAACUGUGAACUGAGAACAGGACACUGUGAUCAGAAGAAUGUGGAUUCAGCACAGAUGAAUGACCACAAGAAGGUGGAACUAGGGAGUUUGGAGUUGCCAAUAAAUGAGACUUACUGAUCAUUCA
Non-coding RNA from Cyanistes caeruleus (blue tit), 654 nucleotides. The record is from RefSeq and is a predicted model, not a curated record. NCBI's taxonomy places the organism in Eukaryota, Metazoa, Chordata, Aves, Passeriformes, Paridae.